RNAcentral lists this ribosomal RNA (491 nucleotides) under uncultured bacterium. RNAcentral's name for it is "partial 16S ribosomal RNA". It matches the Rfam family "Bacterial small subunit ribosomal RNA", at positions 29 to 507 of the family's 1533-position model. The record is from RNAcentral.
AGUGAACGCUGGCGGUAGGCCUAACACAUGCAAGUCGAACGGCAGCACAGUAAGAGCUUGCUCUUACGGGUGGCGAGUGGCGGACGGGUGAGGAAUACAUCGGAAUCUACUUUUUCGUGGGGGAUAACGUAGGGAAACUUACGCUAAUACCGCAUACGACCUACGGGUGAAAGCAGGGGAUCUUCGGACCUUGCGCGAUUGAAUGAGCCGAUGUCGGAUUAGCUAGUUGGCGGGGUAAAGGCCACCAAGGCGACGAUCCGUAGCUGGUCUGAGAGGAUGAUCGGCCACACUGGAACUGAGACACGGUCCAGACUCCUACGGGAGGCAGCAGUGGGGAAUAUUGGACAAUGGGCGCAAGCCUGAUCCAGCCAUACCGCGUGGGUGAAGAAGGCCUUCGGGUUGUAAAGCCCUUUUGUUGGGAAAGAAAAGCAGCAGGUUAAUACCCCGCUGUUCUGACGGUACCCAAAGAAUAAGCACCGGCUAACUUCGUG